RNAcentral lists this long non-coding RNA (560 nucleotides) under Setaria italica (foxtail millet). RNAcentral's name for it is "long non-coding RNA (SITA_LNC007322)". The record is from RNAcentral. Lineage: Eukaryota; Viridiplantae; Streptophyta; Magnoliopsida; Poales; Poaceae.
CGGCCAGAGGAGAAACAGCGACCUGCCUUUCUCACCUGAAACAAUAACAUAUUCUGGAAAAAUGAGAGAUCGAUUCCAUGAUCCUUUUUUGAUCUGUAGCUGUGGCUGGGCAGCUGGGGUAUCUAUCUAUCAUUGAUUUUGCAAGUGGCGAAUGAUGGUUCGGUUCCCUUCAGAUAAUGAGACCGAACCACAGGUUGAAGGACACCGAAAUGGUAGCAGCACUCCGCUAUUUUUGUUUCAACUCACGCAUGGAUGAUGGAUGCUUGAGAAUAGUGGGUUAACUCGAACAUUCCUUUCUUCGUCUCCAACCAGCGCGGGCACCUGCAAAGCAUGCAUGUGUCCGCUACAUCAGGUGAGCCUCGCUUUAAUCAUAUCGACAAAAAAACCAAAGCGAGUGGAGAAGCUUGAUUAUAGCAAAAGGGCAAAGCAAAACAUUGGAUGAUGAACCUAGUCAGAGCAUAACAUCCCGCUGCCAUUGAUCAUAUCGAUCUGAGUGCCGCCUACACGUAGGCCUCUCAUUCUGAUCUCCAGUCAUUAGGUUACCAAGUUGUAUUACUUUG